UUGAAGUUAGCGGCGGACGGGUGAGUAACACGUGGGUAACCUACCUAUAAGACUGGAAUAACUUCGGGAAACCGGAGCUAAUGCCGGAUAACAUUUGGAACCGCAUGGUUCUAAAGUAAAAGAUGGUUUUGCUAUCACUUAUAGAUGGACCCGCGCCGUAUUAGCUAGUUGGUAAGGUAACGGCUUACCAAGGCAACGAUACGUAGCCGACCUGAGAGGGUGAUCGGCCACACUGGAACUGAGACACGGUCCAGACUCCUACGGGAGGCAGCAGUAGGGAAUCUUCCGCAAUGGACGAAAGUCUGACGGAGCAACGCCGCGUGAGUGAUGAAGGUUUUCGGAUCGUAAAACUCUGUUAUUAGGGAAGAACAAAUGUGUAAGUAACUGUGCACAUCUUGACGGUACCUAAUCAGAAAGCCACGGCUAACUACGUGCCAGCAGCCGCGGUAAUACGUAGGUGGCAAGCGUUAUCCGGAAUUAUUGGGCGUAAAGCGCGCGUAGGCGGUUUCUUAAGUCUGAUGUGAAAGCCCACGGCUCAACCGUGGAGGGUCAUUGGAAACUGGGAAACUUGAGUACAGAAGAGGAAAGUGGAAUUCCAUGUGUAGCGGUGAAAUGCGCAGAGAUAUGGAGGAACACCAGUGGCGAAGGCGACUUUCUGGUCUGUAACUGACGCUGAUGUGCGAAAGCGUGGGGAUCAAACAGGAUUAGAUACCCUGGUAGUCCACGCCGUAAACGAUGAGUGCUAAGUGUUAGGGGGUUUCCGCCCCUUAGUGCUGCAGCUAACGCAUUAAGCACUCCGC
This 800-nucleotide ribosomal RNA is filed under the name Staphylococcus sp. K173. Its description in RNAcentral is "bacterial SSU rRNA". It matches the Rfam family "Bacterial small subunit ribosomal RNA", at positions 86 to 872 of the family's 1533-position model. Lineage: Bacteria; Bacillati; Bacillota; Bacilli; Caryophanales; Staphylococcaceae. The record is from RNAcentral.